This 497-nucleotide ribosomal RNA is filed under the name uncultured bacterium. Its description in RNAcentral is "partial 16S ribosomal RNA". It matches the Rfam family "Bacterial small subunit ribosomal RNA", at positions 28 to 507 of the family's 1533-position model. The record is from RNAcentral.
GAUGAACGCUGGCGGCGUGCCUAAUACAUGCAAGUCGAGCGAACGGACGAGAAGCUUGCUUCUCUGAUGUUAGCGGCGGACGGGUGAGUAACACGUGGAUAACCUACCUAUAAGACUGGGAUAACUUCGGGAAACCGGAGCUAAUACCGGAUAAUAUUUUGAACCGCAUGGUUCAAAAGUGAAAGACGGUCUUGCUGUCACUUAUAGAUGGAUCCGCGCUGCAUUAGCUAGUUGGUAAGGUAACGGCUUACCAAGGCAACGAUGCAUAGCCGACCUGAGAGGGUGAGCGGCCACACUGGAACUGAGACACGGGCCAGACUCCGACGGGAGGCAGCAGUAGGGAAUCUUCCGCAAUGGGCGAAAGCCUGACGGAGCAACGCCGGGUGAGUGAUGAAGGUCUUCGGAUCGUAAAACUCUGUUAUUAGGGAAGAAAAAAUGUGUAAGUACCUAUGCACGUCUUGACGGUACCUAAUCAGAAAGCCACGGCUAACUACGUG